GGAGGGUUGGCAGAGAGGACAAUUGCGCGAGUCUCGAAAACUCGAGGGAAUUUUUCCCUACAGAGGUUCGAAUCCUCUACCCUCCGCCU
This 89-nucleotide transfer RNA is filed under the name Candidatus Moraniibacteriota bacterium. RNAcentral describes it as "Candidatus Moranbacteria bacterium (sediment metagenome) tRNA-Ser". It matches the Rfam family "tRNA". From Rfam's summary of the family: Transfer RNA (tRNA) molecules are approximately 80 nucleotides in length. Their secondary structure includes four short double-helical elements and three loops (D, anti-codon, and T loops). Lineage: Bacteria; Candidatus Moraniibacteriota. The record is from RNAcentral.